Molecule: long non-coding RNA, 3801 nt
Filed under: Cinara cedri
Lineage: Eukaryota; Metazoa; Arthropoda; Insecta; Hemiptera; Aphididae
Source: RNAcentral
GUUUGUUUACAUCUUUAGUCUACAUGUUUCAAAUGUUUUAAUUCCAUUAAGUUGUUAACUCAUUUACUCAAAUCCUAAUAUAAACGGUUUAAUUUUUUAUUAGUUAUCGGAUUAAAUUUUCUGAAAUGUCAAAUUUUCCACCUACUCCAACUAAUCCGAAUGUUCAAAACAGAUUUGGUCAAUAUCCAAAUCAAACUUAUCCAGUAAGUUUAUUCCCUCAUUAAUAACUUUUACAGUUUAUUUUUUACAUUCUGUUAUAGAUGCAGCAAAGACCUGGUAUGUACCAGCAAGGAGGUCCUAUGCCUCAAGGUGGACCGCCUAAUGCUAUGAUGGGUGCACGUGGAUCUCCAUCUCAAGGUUUUAGUCCUAUGCGGCAUGGUGCUGGUCCGAUGGUACCGACCCAAACCACACCUGGCAAACGACCUGCUGAUAAUCGUAAUCCACCACCUAUGGUUAAAGGGUAUUUAUUUUAAAUAAUAACAUAAUUUAACUUAAACGUAAAAUUAAACGUAAAAAAAAUCUGGCUCGCCAAUUAGAAACCAAAUAAUGUGGCCUAGUAUUGGGCAACUAAAAAUAUCUAUUUAACAUAUACUAACACUACCAUAUUUUAUUUUAUUUUUUUUGUUAGGUAUACUUGUAUUUCUAGUUAUAAUUGUAUAGUUACCAGUAUUUGAUGCCUUGCGCAAAAAAAAAAUAAAUAAAAAUAUUAAUAUUCAAUUGCUGGAGGAUAAUUUGUAUAUGCUUUAUAGUUAAAAGAGAUAGUAUUAGUUAAAUAUUAUUUUUAUAAUAAUUUCAGGAAAGACAUUAAAUAUUUAAACUUUAAGUUUAUAUUAGUUUAUCUGACUAACCAUUCAAAAUAUUUUAAAUAUGUAUAUAAAACAAUGAGAUGUUGUGUUUUUUUUUAAAUUUAUGAUCUAAAACUAAAAUAUACCUACAUAAUGAAAAUCAUAUUUAUUAAUAUGAAUUUAUAGUUGACUUGACUUGUGAUUUCUUAAACAGGUUGCUGAAAUCUUAUUUAAACGCUACCCAUUAAUACUGCUCAAUACUUAAUUAUUGUAUUGAUGCUUUGCAGCUAACAUUUAUAAAUGUAAUAAAUAUAAAAAAAAAUUAAUUAAUAUAUUCCUUGCAGCUAUAGUAGUUCUGUAAUAUCAAAUAUUUUACAAUUAUUUUUACAGUGAUUUUCCACACAAUAUACAAUCUCAAAAUAGCAAUAUUAAUAUGAGCAAAAAGAAGAAAAAAUUGGCAGAUAAAAUAUUGCCUCAAAAAGUAAGAGAUCUUGUCCCGGAAUCACAGGCAUACAUGGAUCUCUUAGCUUUUGAAAGAAAACUAGAUUCAACUAUUAUGAGAAAACGAUUAGAUAUACAAGUAAUAUUUUCCAAAAAUACCUAUGCAUAUAUAAAUUAAUUUUGAUAUGUUUAUUAUUAUAGGAAGCGUUAAAACGCCCUAUGAAACAAAAACGCAAAUUACGGAUUUUUAUAUCAAAUACUUUUUAUCCUGCUAAAGAACCUGGAGAAAAUGAAGAAGGAAGUGUUGCUUCUUGGGAAUUAAGAGUUGAAGGGCGUUUAUUAGAAGAUUCCAAAAAUGAGCCUAAUAAGGUACUUAACUAAUUUUUUUUACUAAUUUUUUUUUGAAAUUUUCUUAAUUUUAUUUUCAGAUAAAAAGAAAAUUUUCUUCUUUCUUUAAGUCACUGGUAAUUGAACUUGACAAAGACCUAUAUGGACCUGAUAAUCAUUUAGUGGAAUGGCAUCGUACUGCAACUACUCAGGAAACUGAUGGAUUUCAGGUAUUUAUCUAAUAUUUGUCUAUUUAAUUUAUCUUGUUUAAUUUAUUAUUUCUUUUUAAGGUAAAACGACCUGGAGACAAAAAUGUACGCUGUACUAUUUUAUUGCUUCUUGAUUACCAACCAUUGCAAUUUAAAUUGGAUCAACGUUUAGCUAGACUUUUGGGAGUUCAUACUCAAACUAGACCAGUCAUUAUAAGUGCUUUAUGGCAAUUUAUAAAAACUCAUAAGCUCCAAGUAAAAUAUUUCAUAUAUACUAAUAUAUACAGGAUGAUUCAUUAAGCGUGUUUACCUCAUUUUUUGGGUUAAAUUUUUCAUAUAUUUAAAUUCUGAUUUUUAGAAUUUUUAAGUGUAGUUAAUAUCAAUAUUUUUGAAUACUUAGAUUUUUCACAACAUUUUAAGAGUAUCCUGUACCAAUACAGGAUACUAUAAUUUGGAGAGGGAGAUAAUAAAACACUGCACGGUGCCACCACACAAAUGAUAAUCCACUACUCUCCUCUACCUAAACUUAAUAGUGAAAAAUCUCGUUAACGAGUUGACGGAAAUCAAAAAUUUUAACACCAAAAUUUAUUUGAAGUAAUACUCCACCUAUUUAUAGAAUUUUUAAUAACGUUUUUCAUUUGGAAAAUCAAAGUUGAUAUUGCUACAAGAUACUCCUAAAAUGCCGUGAAAAAUAUAAAUAUAAAAUAUCAACAUUAACUACACUUAAAAUUUACAGAAACCAGAAUUUAAACGUAUGCAAUAUUUAACCAAAAAAAUGGGGUAAACACUCUUAGUGAACCAUCCUGUAUAUACACAUGUAUGUGAAUAUUUUCAAAUAUAAUUUUGUUUUUAGGAUUCACACGAGAAAGAGUAUAUUAACUGUGACAAGUAUUUAGAACAAAUAUUUAAUUGUUCUCGUAUGAAAUUUGCGGAAGUUCCACAAAGACUGAAUACUUUACUUCAUCCUCCAGAUCCUAUUGUUAUUAAUCAUAUUAUAAGGUAUCAUUUGAUAUUUUUUAUAUUUGUUGAUUUUUAAUUUUUAAUAAAUAAAUAAUUUAAUUUUGAAGUGUUGAGGGUGUUGAGCAAAAACAAACUGCAUGCUAUGAUAUUGAUGUUGAAGUUGAUGAUACUUUGAAAGCACAAAUGAAUAAUUUCUUGUUGUCUACUGCCAGUCAGCAAGAAAUACAGGUAAUCAAUACAAUAUUCUCUUCUUGUACAUAAUAUAUUAUAUGAUUGUUUUGAUUUAUUAUUUAGAGUCUGGAUAAUAAAAUUCACGAAACAGUUGAAACAAUUAACCAAUUAAAGACAAAUAGAGAAUUCUUUUUGAGUUUUGCUAAAGAUCCUCAGCAAUUUAUAUAUAAAUGGAUAAUUUCACAAACCAGAGAUUUAAAGGUAUUUAUACAAAUUAAUUUACACUGUGGCAGGUGUUCAGAUCUUCUUAAUUUCAAUGCACACUUAAUUACUUAGUUUAGUUAAUAUCCAUAGCACCCAUAUGCAUACUAAUUAAUACAUAUUUGAAUUGGUACACAUAUGGACUUAAUUUUCUUAUUGAAAUAAAUAGUUCAAAAUUUUUGUUUAAAAAUAAUUAUAACUUAUCACUAUUUUUAUUACUAUAAAAUAAAACUAAACAGCUUAAGUUAAUUUUUGUUUUAGACAAUGACGGAUGUAGUUGGUAAUCCAGAAGAAGAAAGGAGAGCAGAAUUUUACUACCAACCAUGGACUCAGGAAGCUGUUAAUCGUUAUUUUUAUUCAAAAGUUCAACAAAAACGAGCAGAACUUGAACAUCAAUUGGGUAUCCGUAACUCAUAAAAAAAAAAAAACUUAUGUAAUAAUAUUUUUAACUAGAUUAGACAUUUUUGUAUAAUGGAAUUCUAAUUAUAUUAUUAUUUUUAAUGAAUUAUAAUUUAUACUUUAUAAUCACAGUUAGUUUAUCAAUUUUUUAAUAACAUUUAAAUUUCAUAAUAUUUGUUAGUCCAUUUAACUGUUAGUAGGGAUUUUUUUUGUACUUUGGUGUUGACAAAUAUUUAAUAAGAUAAGUA